This 509-nucleotide ribosomal RNA is filed under the name Cerithium guinaicum. RNAcentral describes it as "partial 16S ribosomal RNA". It matches the Rfam family "Bacterial large subunit ribosomal RNA", at positions 1817 to 2598 of the family's 2925-position model. Lineage: Eukaryota; Metazoa; Mollusca; Gastropoda; Cerithiidae. The record is from RNAcentral.
GGCUCCUUGUUUUUUGUAUAUAAGGAGUCGGACCUGCCCAGUGAAAAGUUUUAACGGCCGCGGUACUCUGACCGUGCAAAGGUAGCAUAAUCACUUGCCUUAUAAUUGAAGGCUAGUAUGAAUGGUUUGACGAGAGCGCUGCUGUCUCUCUUCUGAUUUAUAAAAAUUAACUUUCAGGUGAAGAGGCCUGUCUAGAAUUGAAGGACGAGAAGACCCUGUCGAGCUUUAAGAAAACAAGGAAAAUCUUAUACUCAGUAAAUAUAAAGCCUUCUUUAUCUUUUGGUUGGGGCGACUAGGGAACAAUCAAAGCUUCCCUUACUUGUAAAACCUAUUUGUUAGGAUCCAGUAUUUUUCUACUGAUUAAAAGAAUUAGUUACCGCAGGGAUAACAGCAUAAUCCUUCUUGAGAGAUCUAAUCGAAAGAAGGGGUUGUGACCUCGAUGUUGGACUAGGAUAUCCUGAGGGUGCAGAAGCCUUCGAGGGUUGGUCUGUUCGACCAUUAAAAUCCUA